CGCAAACAAGAAAACGUAAUAUGAGAUUUUCAGUGGCUAACUUUGCACCGCAACGAGAUUAUCCUAUAACACGAAUGCAAGCAAAGAUAUUAAAUGCAUAGCAUGUGAUUUUAUCGGUAAGAACGGCGUACAGUUACUAUUAAACGCCAGAGAUUCAAGGUAAAGUACCGUUUACAUAAAGUGCUGAAAGUUACUGCUAUCGACGAACGACCAAUCAGAUCUCUUCAAUAUUUACGAUAAAUUUUCAGCUAUCGUGGUAGUGGUGUGGGUGGAGGUGGUGGUGUUAGGAGAAGAGGCCGAGUGUAUUGUUUUUCGAAUGAUUUCGAAUAUUAUUCACGAUAAUUAUUCAUACAGAAUUAAUGUUAUACAAGUUGUGUCGUCUUUACACGUAUAUUACAAUGUUUUAUAAAUUGAUCGUUUACAAAAGAGCCGUGAUAAACGCGGGGCUAGUUACGAACGCAUUAAACAUUUCUCUAUCUCUCGGUUGGAUGUUUCAUUCGAUGUUUAUUUAUCCUACGAAAUAUAACUCGUAUCCAUAUUUCCGUAUAAACAAGGAAACUAUUACUGACGUUAUCUCGCUUCUAACAGUUUAUACGUUCAUCCUUUUUUUUCUUCUUCUUCUUCCGUUAUUUAAAUGGAACAUUAAUAACAUUUGAAAUUAAAUUUAGAACACACGGCUAAUGGUAGGAUGGAUAUGAGAUACCGUGAACGAUUCUUGUUGUUAGAAACUUUAUACAUAUUGAGUAUUUAUUCUUAUUCACUAUAUCGGCAAUUAUCUUUUCCUUUCGGAAAUAAAAUAUAAGAGAGAAUCCAUCUCCUUCUUCCUCCUCCUACUCCUCCUUGUUGAGAAGGGGACGGAUGGUGUGCAAAAAAAAUUCUAUUUAUAAAUUUGACGAUUGAUCUAAGAUGUAUGUAUUUCGAACAACAAUCUAUAUAGCGAUCGAUAAAUGUUAUUUGUCAUCGAAGACACGCGGUAUAAAAAAGUUCUCGAAACGAUUUGUGACGAAUGUAACUUGUAACAAAGUUUUUAGUAGUAGAAGGUCACAAACAAGUCGAUCAGCUGUUUCGCUGUCAUUAGAAAUGCCAAUGUUACGACGCCACCUAACGCCGGGAGGCACGAAGCUGUUAAACGGGCGCGACCUUGUUUUUAUUCCUUGCUUUUCAUCUCGCAAACGCGCGUAAAAUAAGGACGAUAAUAAUCAUUUCUUAAGCUCAUAAAAUAAUAAAAAAAAUAAUCAAUUUACGAGAAACACCUUUAUGAGAAACAAGUUUACGGGGAAUUCGUUAAUAUUGUUUCUUUUCUUCGUCGUUAUCGCGCGCGACUAAUGAAAAAAAUAUAAUUAUUCUUCGUUUGACGUAUUUAAAAUGACCGCCUCCAAAUUCGCCCCUCCCCUCCCCCUUCCAACCACUUCUCUAACCAAUUAUUAUUCGAGAUAUAUAAAACAAGAAAUGGACAAAUUUAAAUACGUUUUAAAACAAGUUAAGAAAAUAAUCGUGAAAAUAAUAUUUUUCGAGAUCGAUAAAGAGAAUUUCGGCUAAAGUAUAUUUAUUAAAAGUGCGUCGACUGUCAAGGCUAGUCACGUGUUCCCGCUUUCUGAUUCGCAGAGAAACAAAGAAGACGAAAGAUGCAGUAUGUGUAUGUAUGCAUACGUGCGUGCAUGCGUGCGUCCGAAAGGUAAACGAAGAAAAGACACUCCCGAAGGAAAAGAGACAAAUCAAUCAAAUCAAAUCACAAAAUCGGUGAUCUUCUUCGCGUUUUCUACCUCGUCCGAUAGUCGCGUGUUACCUAGUAUCGAGAAAGGUUUACGGAUAUACGCCAAUGGAAUGCCGUAAAUUUACGGGUAAAAGGGACAAAAGCGGGAAAUUCAAAUUUAUACAUUCGAUUCGCCAGAAAUUAAUCGCAAAACUAUUACCGAGUUAACACACAGGAUUGUGCUUUCAAGGAAACUUUUUGAACGUUACGUAAUACAAAAAGAAAAUUGUCCCGUUCCUUUAUUGGGAUAAAUCGAUUUUAAAAUCGUAACUGGAAAGCUUCAUUUUUUCUUUCACGAUCGAUGGAUAAUAGCACACAAGUCACGUUUCGCGGAAAACCUUUACGAUGUGAACACGAAGUUAGUAAGGAGGAAGAGGAAGAGGAAGAAGAGGUGGUGGAGAAGGUGGAGAAGGAGGAAGGUCGAAACGAUUCAGCAACUCGAGGGAUAUAUUAUCAGAAUGAAAUGAAAAAUCUGCAAUCAUAAAUAUAUCGCGAAUAUAUUUUUCCAAGAAUCAACUGUACACGCGAUGCGGGCUUUUGAUCCUGUGUUUCUUUCGUUGUAGUGGUUCGAUCGAAAAGAUACUAGAAUUUCUAGUGAUUUAUAAUAACAUAUCCCUAGAAUCUUUAUUAUAUGAAACUAAUGAAAUACGAAAUUUGGAAAUUUUGAAUCCCUGCCUUUUAAGUCAUCUUUUGUUUAUACAAUAAUGAACGUAAUUGUCCGUUUUUAUCUCUUACUGCACUUUGGAAACAAAUAAUUUGUUAAUCAUGCUGAUCUGUCGACUUUGAACGUAUAAUAAUGAAACUUAUCAUCAAGGGUUAUAGUUCGUAAAAAUCUACUUGACCCGGGGAGAAGUUUGUUGAAAAAUUAAAGGCUUUACCUCGGUCAGUGUUAAAAGUGCGAGUAUAUUAUCAGUGAAAUGUAAGAAGAAGUAUCGACGUGUAAUGAAAUAUCAUGAUACAAUAACUAGAACAAACCUAUAGUUAUUUCGUAUGGUGUAUAAUAUAUCAAAGGUCAUCUAAACGGGCAUAUUAAUGAAACGCUAAUGAUAAUGUCAAGGUAUUAUCAUUAAAAUGGCAAUGCAGAAGGUGUCACAGGUGUCUCGAUGAAACGAAUGAAAUAAUUGUGUGUGAAUAAGAGGAUUAUAAAACACAUAAGAAGAUUAUUUAAGGAUAAACGAUUAAUACUCACAAUAAUGUUGUUACC
This is a long non-coding RNA of Polistes canadensis, 2957 nucleotides long. RefSeq lists it as uncharacterized. NCBI's taxonomy places the organism in Eukaryota, Metazoa, Arthropoda, Insecta, Hymenoptera, Vespidae. The record is from RefSeq and is a predicted model, not a curated record. The transcript has 5 exons.